Molecule: ribosomal RNA, 373 nt
Filed under: uncultured eukaryote
Lineage: Eukaryota
Description: partial 18S ribosomal RNA
Rfam family: Eukaryotic small subunit ribosomal RNA
Source: RNAcentral
CAAUAGCGUAUAUUUAAGUUGUUGCAGUUAAAAAGCUCGUAGUUGGAUUUCGGUUGAGAACGGCCGGUCCGCCGUUUGGUGUGCACUGGCUGGUUUCAACUUCCUGUAGAGGACGUGCUCUGGCUUCACGGCUGGACGCGGAGUCUGCGUGGUUACUUUGAAAAAAUUAGAGUGUUCAAAGCGGGCUUACGCUUGAAUAUUUCAGCAUGGAAUAACACUAUAGGACUCCUGUCCUAUUUCGUUGGUCUCGGGACGGGAGUAAUGAUUAAGAGGAACAGUUGGGGGCAUUCGUAUUUCAUUGUCAGAGGUGAAAUUCUUGGAUUUAUGAAAGACGAACUUCUGCGAAAGCAUUUGCCAAGGAUGUUUUCAUUAA